AGGGUCGUGCAAAACAUGCGCAAGUUUCAAAAUUACAUUGGUAGGAUGAUGGAAGUACCCUGUAGAACAUUACAGGAUACAUGAAUAAGAAGGAGCAAGGGUUUGUCAAAAUAGAACUUGAAGAGAAGGAAAUUUUCGAAAAAGAGAGGAAGAGAUUGAUUCGGAGGAAGGAGAAAUAUAAGGAGGAGCGCAAGGGUUUGUCAAAAUAGAACUUGAAGGGAAGGAAAUUUUCGAAAGAGAGAGGAAGAGAUUGAUUCGAAGGAAGGAGAAAUAAGCCGAUAUCAAAAUACAUUACGGAUUGAAAGGCUCCAGCAUGGGCUCAUUCUUCAGCUCAUUAUUCAGCAACAACCUUCCUCCAAACACCAUGCAAAAUCAUAAGCUUCUGUUAGACGCCAUAGGACGCAAGGACUUACAAUCUUUCGAACAGAUUGUGAAGGAAAUGUUGGAAA
Temnothorax curvispinosus is the source of this 449-nucleotide long non-coding RNA. RefSeq lists it as uncharacterized. NCBI's taxonomy places the organism in Eukaryota, Metazoa, Arthropoda, Insecta, Hymenoptera, Formicidae. The record is from RefSeq and is a predicted model, not a curated record. The transcript is spliced from 3 exons.